RNAcentral lists this ribosomal RNA (252 nucleotides) under Triticum aestivum (bread wheat). Its description in RNAcentral is "partial small subunit ribosomal RNA". The record is from RNAcentral. Lineage: Eukaryota; Viridiplantae; Streptophyta; Magnoliopsida; Poales; Poaceae.
CUAUCUGGCCCUAACUAUAAGUGGGUGUGGAAAGCCCCUAUCCCACUAAAAAUCAAAAUUUUCUUGUGGCAACUUUUUCAAAAUGUUGUGCUUACAAGAGAUAAUAUGCGGGCUAGGAAGUGGCAUGGAGAUCCUACAUGUUCUUUUUGUACAAAUGUUGAAACAGCGAACCAUCUAGUCUUUACUUGCCCACUUGCCCGCACAAUUUGGGGCGUGCUGGGAAUGACGGGUGGAGCAUCUUGUUGUCCCUGA